Molecule: long non-coding RNA, 274 nt
Filed under: Mus spicilegus (steppe mouse)
Lineage: Eukaryota; Metazoa; Chordata; Mammalia; Rodentia; Muridae
Description: lncRNA (ENSMSIG00000019666.1)
Source: RNAcentral
GGCGGGGCAGAACGCUCGCUUUGGCUGCGGGAGUGAGUGUGAGUGUGAGAGCAAGAACAGCCCGCAGGUCCCGAGGCGCUUGCAGGGGACUCUGCCGCGGAAAGUUCCCAGUCCCCAGCCGCAGUGAAGUCCUUCUACCUAGUUCCCCUUCCUUGUGCACAGAAGAGGACUGGAAAACUCUCCUCAUAGGACUGCAUACUGCUAUCUCUGAGAAGUAAGCAGUAUUUACUUUCUUACUUGUGUUUUCUUGAAUGUAUUUUGCUCUUUUUAUUUA